This is a long non-coding RNA of Ictalurus punctatus (channel catfish), 948 nucleotides long. The record is from Ensembl. Lineage: Eukaryota; Metazoa; Chordata; Actinopteri; Siluriformes; Ictaluridae.
AAUAACUCACACAGCAUGCUGCUGCAAUGGUCCAUGGUUCAUGCACAGGAUUUUUCGUGGUGGAGAUGGCUGUGUUGUGAAUAUGAUGUCACUCUGGUUUGUGAGCCGUGCUGGACAGAGCAGUGCUCAAGCCUCGUAUGUGUGUUUUCCAGCUGAUCCUCUCCAUGCAGAUGUUUGUAAUGAAUCGGAGUUAAUUAGACAUGGUGUCUGUUUUUCACUGUAAUCAAAUGUGCCUUCAUAGAGUUCGGAGUGUGUUCAGGAACAGUGACUGACACGGAAUAAAAUGGGAAUGGAUUAGGAUGGGUGUGGAAUAAGAUGAGCAUGGAUUAGGACUGGUAUGGAUUAGGAUGGGCAUGGAUUAGGAUGGGCAUGGAAUAAGAUGGGCAUGGAUUAGGAUGGGCGUGGAAUAAAAUGGGCGUGGAUUAGGAUAGGCGUGGAAUAAAAUGGGCAUGGAUUAGGAUGGGCGUGGAAUAAAAUGGGCAUGGAUUAAGAUGGGCGUGGAAGAAGAUGGGCUAGGAUUAGGAUGAGCAUGGAAUAAAUAGGCAUGGAUUAGGAUGGGCGUGGAAUAAAAUGGGCAUGGAUUAGGAUGGGCGUGGAAUAAAAUGGGCAUGGAUUAGGAUGAGCAUGGAAUAAGAUGGGCAUGGAUUAGGAUGGGCGUGGAAUAAAAUGGGCAUGGAUUAGGAUGAGCAUGGAAUAAGAAGGGCAAGGAAUAGGAUGGGCAUGGAUUAGGAUGGUAUUUAUUAGGAUGGUAUUUAUUAGGAUGGGCAUGGAUUAGGAUGAACAAGGAAUAAGACGUGCAUGGAUUAGGAUGGGCGUGGAAUAAGAUGUGCAUGGAUUAGGAUGACAAGGAAUAAGACGUGCAUGGAUUAGGAUGGGCGUGGAAUAAGAUGGGCAUGGCUUAGGAUGGGUGUGGAAUAAGAUGGGCAUGGAUUAGGAUGGGCAUGGCAU